RNAcentral lists this ribosomal RNA (1137 nucleotides) under Aeromonas dhakensis. RNAcentral describes it as "partial 23S ribosomal RNA". It matches the Rfam family "Bacterial large subunit ribosomal RNA", at positions 1 to 1190 of the family's 2925-position model. The record is from RNAcentral. Lineage: Bacteria; Pseudomonadati; Pseudomonadota; Gammaproteobacteria; Aeromonadales; Aeromonadaceae.
GGUUAAGUGACUAAGCGUACAUGGUGGAUGCCUUGGCAGUCAGAGGCGAUGAAGGACGUACUAACCUGCGAUAAGCCGUGAGCAGUCGGUAAGAGACAUUACGACUCACGGAUUUCCGAAUGGGGAAACCCACCUAGCAUAAGCUGGGUAUCGCUACGUGAAUACAUAGCGUAGCGAGGCGAACCGGGAGAACUGAAACAUCUAAGUACCCCGAGGAAAAGAAAUCAACCGAGAUUCCCUCAGUAGCGGCGAGCGAACGGGGAUUAGCCCUUAAGCAUCUUGGAAGUUAGUGGAACGGUCCUGGAAAGGCCGGCGAUACAGGGUGAUAGCCCCGUACACGAAAACAACCUUGAUGUGAAAUCGAGUAGGGCGGGACACGUGACAUCCUGUCUGAAUAUGGGGGGACCAUCCUCCAAGGCUAAAUACUCCUGACUGACCGAUAGUGAACCAGUACCGUGAGGGAAAGGCGAAAAGAACCCCUGUGAGGGGAGUGAAAUAGAACCUGAAACCGUGUACGUACAAGCAGUGGGAGCCCUUCGGGGUGACUGCGUACCUUUUGUAUAAUGGGUCAGCGACUUACAUUUUGUAGCGAGGUUAACCGUAUAGGGGAGCCGUAGGGAAACCGAGUCUUAACUGGGCGUCUAGUUGCAAGGUGUAGACCCGAAACCGGGUGAUCUAGCCAUGGGCAGGUUGAAGGUUGAGUAACAUCAACUGGAGGACCGAACCCACUAACGUUGCAAAGUUAGGGGAUGACCUGUGGCUGGGGGUGAAAGGCCAAUCAAACUCGGAGAUAGCUGGUUCUCCCCGAAAGCUAUUUAGGUAGCGCCUCGGACGAAUACUACUGGGGGUAGAGCACUGUUUGGGCUAGGGGGUCAUCCCGACUUACCAACCCCAUGCAAACUCCGAAUACCAGUAAGUAAUAUCCGGGAGACACACGGCGGGUGCUAACGUCCGUCGUGAAGAGGGAAACAACCCAGACCGCCGGCUAAGGUCCCAAAGUUCUGGUUAAGUGGGAAACGAUGUGGGAAGGCUCAGACAGCUAGGAUGUUGGCUUAGAAGCAGCCAUCAUUUAAAGAAAGCGUAAUAGCUCACUAGUCGAGUCGGCCUGCGCGGAAGAUGUAACGGGGCUCAAACCAG